CGCAAGCCUGACGGAGCAACGCCGCGUGAGGGAUGAAGGCCUCUGGGCUGUAAACCUCUUUUCUCAAGGAAGAAGAACUGACGGUACUUGAGGAAUAAGCCACGGCUAAUUCCGUGCCAGCAGCCGCGGUAAUACGGGAGUGGCAAGCGUUAUCCGGAAUUAUUGGGCGUAAAGCGUCCGCAGGCGGUCUUGAAAGUCUGUUGUUAAAGCGUGGAGCUCAACUCCAUUUCAGCAAUGGAAACUAGAAGACUAGAGUGUGGUAGGGGCAGAGGGAAUUCCCGGUGUAGCGGUGAAAUGCGUAGAUAUCGGGAAGAACACCAGUGGCGAAGGCGCUCUGCUGGGCCAUAACUGACGCUCAUGGACGAAAGCCAGGGGAGCGAAAGGGAUUAGAUACCCCCGUAGUCCUGGCCGUAAACGAUGAACACUAGGUGUCGGGGGAAUCGACCCCCUCGGUGUCGUAGCCAACGCGUUAAGUGUUCCGCCUGGGGAGUACGCACGCAAGUGUGAAACUCAAAGGAAUUGACGGGGGCCCGCACAAGCGGUGGAGUAUGUGGUUUAAUUCGAUGCAACGCGAAGAACCUUACCAGGGUUUGACAUCCUGCGAAUCUUUUGGAAACAGAAGAGUGCCUUCGGGAGCGCAGAGACAGGUGGUGCAUGGCUGUCGUCAGCUCGUGUCGUGAGAUGUUGGGUUAAGUCCCGCAACGAGCGCAACCCACGUCUUUAGUUGCCAGCAUUAAGUUGGGCACUCUAGAGAGACCGCCGGUGAUAAACCGGAGGAAGGUGUGGAUGACGUCAAGUCAUCAUGCCCCUUACAUCCUGGGCUACACACGUACUACAAUGCUACGGACAAAGGGCAGCAAACUCGCGAGAGCUAGCAAAUCCCAUAAACCGUGGCUCAGUUCAGAUCGUAGGCUGCAACUCGCCUACGUGAAGGAGGAAUCGCUAGUAAUCGCAGGUCAGCAUACUGCGGUGAAUACGUUCCCGGGCCUU
This 990-nucleotide ribosomal RNA is filed under the name Cyanobium sp. ITAC108. Its description in RNAcentral is "bacterial SSU rRNA". It matches the Rfam family "Bacterial small subunit ribosomal RNA", at positions 376 to 1382 of the family's 1533-position model. Lineage: Bacteria; Bacillati; Cyanobacteriota; Cyanophyceae; Synechococcales; Prochlorococcaceae. The record is from RNAcentral.